AAAAUAGUAUCAGAAUUGUCAGGGAAAAGUGAGAUGAGCGUAUUAAAUUUAAAAAAAAAUAGGAAAGUUGGAAAACACUGGCUUAGUCCUUGAAAAUUUAGUCUUUAUUAUUCAAUUUAUGCUAAAGCCUUUGCUUUUAUCCAGUGUAGUCGUCAGAUGCUGGCCAUGGCCACAGAUCAUACUUAACUCUCACCUUUCUAAUCUAAAUUCCCUAAUUGAAUUCUUUCUGGCUGCUGGUUCUCUCCAUGGGAUCAACUUCUCUCUAAUCAUUAUGAAGAAAAAUUGAGUUGGUCAAGAAGAUCUGUGCCCUGUUAGAAUAAGAACCAUAAAAGCUUUCCUCAUUUGCACAUACCAUGGCACCUCCUGGUAGCAUAAAGAAACAAAAGUAGAACAAAACAAACAGUCCCAGCAGUCAGGAGUAGUUCAGAAGUAUAAUUGUAGAAUCACUCAAUUCACCAAAAAAGGCUAACAAGAAAAAAAAAUAUUUUUCCUUAGUAGACUCCUUUGAGAAAAAUAUCCUUUUUCCCAGGGCUUUCUGGGAACUUUUUUGGUUUCAUGCCUAUACAUACCUUCUAUGUGGUUAUCUUGGGUGAUGGGUGAUGGUAGGGAGGGUUUAAGACUUUUGUUGAGUGCUUCCUUCUACUAAAAUAUUUUUUGUCAAGAAUACUUCUCUGCUCAUUCCCUAAUGCCAUUUUUCUUUUUUUCAAGACAGUCAUUUUUUUCCUUUCCCUCCACUGAGAAAGAAUCGAUAACAUCCUAAGGAGCUCAUCUCAGGCAUAUUGGGAUCAGGAACUGCUUUCCUCAUUAUGAUACCCCUGCAUGGAACAGCACCUGGAGAGUAGGUGUUCAAUAAAUCCUCACUUAGAGGUUGAGUACCUACUAUGUACAAGCACCAUGCUUGGACUUCUCAGCGUGUCUUGCUGAACUAGACACAUCUGCUGUCUUUGUUUGUUCAAGCUGCUUUAACAAAAGACCAAAGAGUGGGUAAUUUAUAAAGAACAGAAAUUUCGAGCUUACAGUCCUGGGGUCUGGGAGGUUAAUGACCAAGGCACUAACAGGUUCAGUGUUUGGUGAGGGCAUAGUCUCUACUUCCAAGAUGGCACCUUGUUGCUGCAUUCUCCAGAGGGGAUGAACACUGCUUCUCAUAUGGGAAGAGAUGGAAGGGCAAAAAUGGACCUAUCUAGUUACUCCCAUCCCUUUUAUAAGGUCACUAACCCAUUUAUAAAGUUAUAUGGUUUGGAAGUCCCACCCAAAUCUCAUAUUGAAAUGUAAUCCCCAGUGUUGGAGGUGGGGCCUGGUGGGUGGUGACUGGAUUAUGGGGAUGGUUUUCUCAUGAAUGGUUUAGUACCAUCCUCUUGGUACUGUCCUUGAGAUAGUGAGUUCUCACGAGAUCUGGUCCUUUAAAAGCGUAUGGCACCUCCCGCCUCACUGUCUUGCUCCUGCUCCCACCAUGUGAGACGCCUGCUCCCCCGUGAACUCCCACCAUGACUGUAAGCUUCCUGAGGCCUACCCAGAAAUAGAUGCCCGUGUUAUGCUUCCUGUACAGUGUGCAGAACCA
RNAcentral lists this long non-coding RNA (1558 nucleotides) under Homo sapiens (human). Its description in RNAcentral is "non-protein coding lnc-APCS-1:1". The record is from RNAcentral. Lineage: Eukaryota; Metazoa; Chordata; Mammalia; Primates; Hominidae.